UACGUAGGGUGCGAGCGUUAAUCGGAAUUACUGGGCGUAAAGCGUGCGCAGGCGGUUAUGUAAGACAGAUGUGAAAUCCCCGGGCUCAACCUGGGAACUGCAUUUGUGACUGCAUAGCUAGAGUACGGCAGAGGGGGAUGGAAUUCCGCGUGUAGCAGUGAAAUGCGUAGAUAUGCGGAGGAACACCGAUGGCGAAGGCAAUCCCCUGGGCCUGUACUGACGCUCAUGCACGAAAGCGUGGGGAGCAAACAGGAUUAGAUACCCUGGUAGUCCACGCCCUAAACGAUGUCAACUGGUUGUUGGGUCUUCACUGACUCAGUAACGAAGCUAACGCGUGAAGUUGACCGCCUGGGGAGUACGGCCGCAAGGUUGAA
RNAcentral lists this ribosomal RNA (374 nucleotides) under uncultured bacterium. RNAcentral describes it as "bacterial SSU rRNA". It matches the Rfam family "Bacterial small subunit ribosomal RNA", at positions 524 to 898 of the family's 1533-position model. The record is from RNAcentral.